Molecule: long non-coding RNA, 410 nt
Organism: Lates calcarifer (barramundi perch)
Lineage: Eukaryota; Metazoa; Chordata; Actinopteri; Centropomidae
Exons: 3
Source: RefSeq, a predicted model, not a curated record
GCAAAUUUACCUGUGUGUCAUGAAGAGUUCCAGAAUGGUGACUACAGUGAGUCAGUUAUGAGAAUCUCUCUGCAGAAUUCACACACUCUUCAACCCGAACACACUCAUUUGUGCCUGGAUGAUCAACUGUGUUGGAGUACUCUCUUAUCGUUGAACUUACAGUCGUGAAAUUUUCGUUGUCGCUUUGACAAACACUUUGUUAAACCUGUUCUGUAUUUGGAUAUACAGCAACAAAAUAUCAAUGGAUUUUACUGAAGGAAGCAGAGGAAUCUACAGACCCAUCAGGGUGUUGUUUGACACACCCAUAUAUGAACGGGCUCUGCAGACCUGCUGGCAUGUUGGCUCUUAUAAGUCUCAGAUUGCACUGGUUGCUGAACUUCUGAGGCUCCAGCAGAAAUACCAGCUCUCAU